RNAcentral lists this ribosomal RNA (490 nucleotides) under uncultured bacterium. Its description in RNAcentral is "partial 16S ribosomal RNA". It matches the Rfam family "Bacterial small subunit ribosomal RNA", at positions 30 to 507 of the family's 1533-position model. The record is from RNAcentral.
AUUGAACGCUGGCGGCAGGCUUAACACAUGCAAGUCGAACGGUAACAUAAAGGAGCUUGCUUCUUUGAUGACGAGUGGCGGACGGGUGAGUAAUGCUUGGGAAUCUAGCUUAUGGAGGGGGAUAACUACGGGAAACUGUAGCUAAUACCGCGUAGAAUCGGGAGAUGAAAGUGUGGGACCUUCGGGCCACAUGCCAUAGGAUGAGCCCAAGUGGGAUUAGGUAGUUGGUGAGGUAAAGGCUCACCAAGCCGACGAUCUCUAGCUGGUCUGAGAGGAUGACCCGCCACACUGGGACUGAGACACGGCCCAGACUCCUACGGGAGGCAGCAGUGGGGAAUAUUGCGCAAUGGGGGCAACCCUGACGCAGCCAUGCCGCGUGAAUGAAGAAGGCCUUCGGGUUGUAAAGUUCUUUCGGUAGCGAGGAAGGCAUUUAGUUUAAUAGACUAGGUGAUUGACGUUAACUACAGAAGAAGCACCGGCUAACUCCGUG